RNAcentral lists this transfer RNA (88 nucleotides) under bacterium. RNAcentral's name for it is "tRNA-Tyr". It matches the Rfam family "tRNA". From Rfam's summary of the family: Transfer RNA (tRNA) molecules are approximately 80 nucleotides in length. The record is from RNAcentral. RNAcentral also lists the same sequence under 1 other name.
GCGUCGGUAGUCCCGUAGGGGGCGGGAGCGGACUGUAAAUCCGUCGUCUUCAAUGGCCCCGUGAGUUCGACUCUCACCCGACGCACCA